Long non-coding RNA from Cygnus olor (mute swan), 622 nucleotides. RefSeq lists it as uncharacterized. The record is from RefSeq and is a predicted model, not a curated record. Lineage: Eukaryota; Metazoa; Chordata; Aves; Anseriformes; Anatidae. The transcript is spliced from 3 exons.
CCCCUCCUUUCGGGAUUACAUGAACUAAAGAAAUGGAGGCAAUUAGCCACAUCAGGUUUCUGGGAUCAAGCUAUCACAAGAGACCUUGGGGAGCCAAGAGCACAAGGGUUCCUCAUAUUUAUUAAUGUGAAGAACUCAAACAGUUACAGUCUCCAGAAGAAAAAUGAGACUUAAGAACCCAAGCAUUUGUUUAAAUCAGCCAGACUUACCACAGCUGAUAAACUGCUGUCUGCUGAAAUAGAGGUGGCAGCAAAAGUGCAGAGAUUUCCCUCCCUCCACAAAGAGGGGACUAAAAAUGUUGAGGUAGACACAGCUGAGCAGGGGUCACGAAGUAAUUCUCUCUUUUAGAGGAAGGGUGCUGGUUUGAUCCUGCCCUCAGACUCUCCUGAUAAGGACCAGGAAGGCUCUCAUUGGUUUCUGCAGUCCUGGUCUCAGCUAGAAUCACUUACAAAUGCAAAUACAAGGGAAUACCUGGUUCUUUGUUAGCCAUUUCUUUCACAGCAAAUGUAACCUAUUGGGAAACCUGUCAUCAGCUGUGCAGUAAAAGCUCCUGUUCUGCAGAUCAAGUCACUUCCUUGAUAUUUCAGAGAUCUUGUAGCAAGAAGAAAAGAAAGCUUCUAAG